RNAcentral lists this ribosomal RNA (245 nucleotides) under uncultured bacterium. Its description in RNAcentral is "partial small subunit ribosomal RNA". It matches the Rfam family "Bacterial small subunit ribosomal RNA", at positions 26 to 285 of the family's 1533-position model. The record is from RNAcentral.
AGAAUCAACGCUGGCGGCGUGCCUAACACAUGCAAGUCGAACGAGAAAGUGGAGCAAUCCAUGAGUACAGUGGCGCACGGGUGAGUAACACGUGACUAACCUACCCUUGAGUUCGGAAUAACUUCGGGAAACCGAGGCUAAUACCGGAUAAUAUCUACGGAUCAAAGGAGCAAUUCGCUUAAGGAGGGGGUCGCGGCAGAUUAGUUAGUUGGCGGGGUAAUGGCCCACCAAGACGAUGAUCUGUA